RNAcentral lists this ribosomal RNA (553 nucleotides) under uncultured Geobacter sp. RNAcentral's name for it is "bacterial SSU rRNA". It matches the Rfam family "Bacterial small subunit ribosomal RNA", at positions 32 to 558 of the family's 1533-position model. The record is from RNAcentral. Lineage: Bacteria; Pseudomonadati; Thermodesulfobacteriota; Desulfuromonadia; Geobacterales; Geobacteraceae.
AACGCUGGCGGCGUGCCUAACACAUGCAAGUCGUACGAGAAAUCCUGGGCAACUGGGAAAGUAAAGUGGCGCACGGGUGAGUAACGCGUGGGUAACCUACCCUUGGAUUUGGGAUAACUCCGCGAAAGCGGGGUUAAUACCGUAAUGAUAUUUCGAUCUCUAAGGGGAUCGGAAUCAAAGGUGGCCUCUGCAUGCAAGCUACUGUCUAAGGAUGGGCCCGCGUACCAUUAGCUCGUUGGUAGGGUAAUGGCCUACCAAGGCAACGAUGGUUAGCUGGUCUUAGAGGAUGGCCAGCCACACUGGAACUGAGACACGGUCCAGACUCCUACGGGAGGCAGCAGUGGGGAAUCUUGCGCAAUGGGGGAAACCUUGACGCAGCAACGCCGCGUGGGUGAUGAAGGCCUUCGGGUCGUAAAGCCCUGUCAGGUGGGAAGAAACAUAUCGGUGUUAAUAUCACCGAUGUUUGACGGUACCGCCGGAGGAAGCACCGGCUAACUCCGUGCCAGCAGCCGCGGUAAUACGGAGGGUGCAAGCGUUGUUCGGAAUUACUGGG